UUCAGAUGGCCGACUGGUAAGAGUCCUAGACCAUCAAUCCAGAGGUGUGAGUUCGAAUCCCACUUGAUU
Molecule: transfer RNA, 69 nt
Filed under: Culex quinquefasciatus (southern house mosquito)
Lineage: Eukaryota; Metazoa; Arthropoda; Insecta; Diptera; Culicidae
Description: tRNA-Asp
Source: RNAcentral